RNAcentral lists this unclassified non-coding RNA (275 nucleotides) under fungal sp. RNAcentral describes it as "partial internal transcribed spacer region". The stretch from base 1 to 46 matches the Rfam family "Eukaryotic small subunit ribosomal RNA", at positions 1786 to 1831 of the family's 1831-position model. The record is from RNAcentral. Lineage: Eukaryota; Fungi.
AAGUCGUAACAAGGUUUCCGUAGGUGAACCUGCGGAAGGAUCAUUACCAAAUCCAUCCAAUUACCGACCCACGUGUGAACCGACAAACAGUCUUUGGGAGCUGUGCUCUUUUGUACGGCUCCCGCAUUUAUUUUGAACCACGUUGUCUUUUGGCAGAGUAAAAACGGACCUUGCUUUUUUGUCUUUUUCGUCUUUUUGACGGAAAAAAUGAAGAAAAAAGGAACAAAAAACAACUCAAUCAAAAACAACUUUUAACGGUGGAUCUCUUGGCUCGU